GACGAACGCUGGCGGCGUGCUUAACACAUGCAAGUCGAACGGAAAGGCUCCAGCUUGCUGGAGUACUCGAGUGGCGAACGGGUGAGUAACACGUGGGUAAUCUGCCCUGCACUCUGGGAUAAGCCUGGGAAACUGGGUCUAAUACUGGAUAUGACCUUUCUCCUUAUGGGGUUUGGUGGAACGUUUUUCGGUGUAGGAUUAGCCCGCGGCCUAUCAGCUUGUUGGUGGGGUGAUGGCCUACCAAGGCGACGACGGGUAGCCGGCCUGAGAGGGUGAUCGGCCACAUUGGGACUGAGAUACGGACCAGACUCCUACGGGAGGCAGCAGUGGGGAAUAUUGCACAAUGGGCGGAAGCCUGAUGCAGCGACGCCGCGUGAGGGAUGACGGCCUUCGGGUUGUAAACCUCUUUCAGCAGGGACGAAGCGUAAGUGACGGUACCUGCAGAAGAAGCACCGGCUAACUAUGUG
RNAcentral lists this ribosomal RNA (467 nucleotides) under uncultured bacterium. Its description in RNAcentral is "partial 16S ribosomal RNA". It matches the Rfam family "Bacterial small subunit ribosomal RNA", at positions 28 to 507 of the family's 1533-position model. The record is from RNAcentral.